This is a long non-coding RNA of Ornithodoros turicata, 561 nucleotides long. RefSeq lists it as uncharacterized. The transcript is spliced from 2 exons. The record is from RefSeq and is a predicted model, not a curated record. Lineage: Eukaryota; Metazoa; Arthropoda; Arachnida; Ixodida; Argasidae.
UCUGUUGCUGAUUACGCUAGUGCUACUCGGCACCAAUCAGCCUGUCGAGAACGCGAAGAUAACUCCAGAACCCACUGUCGUCACUGGGCGCCAAUGCAAGUUUCACGGGUAUACUUUCAAAGACGGGGAUAUUCAGGCUCUGGUGAUCAACGAGUGUGCUGUGGCCAGAUGCAUGGUUGACCUGAAGGUCGUGAUGUACGAAACGUGCGACGACCCACCAGAUGGUUGCUUGCCACCAAAGGGGGGCUUCUAUCCCGAGUGUUGUACUCAGCCUAUUUGUUGACUCGUGACUGAAGGCAUCAGCUGCUCUCACAAGACUUGAGAAGAAAAAAGAAGGAACGGACGGAAAUGAAGUAAAAUUCAAAUAAAAACAACUUCCACAACAGAACGCUGUCUUGCAAACUACCCUCCGUGGUUUUGAUAAUGGAUCUCUGGAAUUUUCAGAAGUGUUUUGUGCUACAUAUAGUGACAUGAACAAUUCUCGUUAUGAGUGUUGUAGCUGCAGAGUGCAGCAAGCUUGGUGAAUAACAAGUAUGCACAAUACAGACGUUUGUAAAUGGG